GGCGCACGGGUGCGUAACGCGUAUGCAACCUACCUUUUCCUGGGGGAUAGCCCGGAGAAAUCCGGAUUAAUACCGCAUAAGAUAGUACCUAGGCAUCUAGGAGUUAUUAAAGAUUAAUCGGGAAAAGAUGGGCAUGCGUCCGAUUAGCUAGUUGGUAGUGUAACGGACUACCAAGGCUAUGAUCGGUAGGGGUUCUGAGAGGAAGAUCCCCCACACUGGUACUGAGAUACGGACCAGACUCCUACGGGAGGCAGCAGUAGGGAAUAUUGGGCAAUGGAGGAGACUCUGACCCAGCCAUGCCGCGUGCAGGAAGAAGGCUUUCUGAGUUGUAAACUGCUUUUGUAAGGGAAGAAAAGGGAUUACGUGUAAUCUAAUCGACGGUACCUUAUGAAUAAGCACCGGCUAACUCCGUGCCAGCAGCCGCGG
This 426-nucleotide ribosomal RNA is filed under the name uncultured bacterium. RNAcentral describes it as "bacterial SSU rRNA". It matches the Rfam family "Bacterial small subunit ribosomal RNA", at positions 97 to 520 of the family's 1533-position model. The record is from RNAcentral.